RNAcentral lists this long non-coding RNA (297 nucleotides) under Mytilus galloprovincialis (Mediterranean mussel). Lineage: Eukaryota; Metazoa; Mollusca; Bivalvia; Mytilida; Mytilidae. The record is from RNAcentral.
AAUAAACACGUGCAUUUUGUUUACAUUGAAAUCUGUGGUAACCUUUCAUUCGAGGUAGGGGUAGUUAAGAAAAUUAGUGUAAGUUUAAACUCUGAGAAGUUCAGGGCAUAUAAACGUUGAAAAUAUGCCGCACAGCCCUAUAUUUUGACCUUUGAAAAAAAUUGUGGUGCAUAUGAACUUUCAAUUCUAGGAUAAAAAAAAUUUCAAAACUUCAUAGUAAAAGUGGUACCGUUUUAGCCGUAAAAGGAGUUCCUAUGGGAAAUUGCAUUGUCAAUAUUUACAGAAAUGCAACCUAUA